GACGAACGCUGGCGGCGUGCUUAACACAUGCAAGUCGAACGAAGAGCGACGGAAGCUUGCUUCUAUCAAUCUUAGUGGCGAACGGGUGAGUAACGCGUAAUCAACCUGCCCUUCAGAGGGGGACAACAGUUGGAAACGACUGCUAAUACCGCAUACGAUCUAAUCUCGGCAUCGAGGAUGGAUGAAAGGUGGCCUCUACAUGUAAGCUAUCACUGAAGGAGGGGAUUGCGUCUGAUUAGCUAGUUGGAGGGGUAACGGCCCACCAAGGCGAUGAUCAGUAGCCGGUCUGAGAGGAUGAACGGCCACAUUGGGACUGAGACACGGCCCAGACUCCUACGGGAGGCAGCAGUGGGGAAUCUUCCGCAAUGGACGAAAGUCUGACGGAGCAACGCCGCGUGAGUGGUGACGGCCUUCGGGUUGUAAAGCUCUGUUAAUCGGGACGAAAGGCCUUCUUGCGAAUAGUGAGAAGGAUUGACGGUACCGGAAUAGAAAGCCACGGCUAACUACGUG
This 510-nucleotide ribosomal RNA is filed under the name uncultured bacterium. RNAcentral's name for it is "partial 16S ribosomal RNA". It matches the Rfam family "Bacterial small subunit ribosomal RNA", at positions 28 to 507 of the family's 1533-position model. The record is from RNAcentral.